CACUCCUGCGGGAGGCAGCAGUGGGGAAUUUUGGACAAUGGGCGAAAGCCUGAUCCAGCAAUGCCGCGUGCAGGAUGAAGGCCUUCGGGUUGUAGACUGCUUUUGUACGGAACGAAAAAGCUCCUUCUAAUACAGGGGGCCCAUGACGGUACCGUAAGAAUAAGCACCGGCUAACUACGUGCCAGCAGCCGCGGUAAUACGUAGGGUGCGAGCGUUAAUCGGAAUUACUGGGCGUAAAGCGUGCGCAGGCGGUUAUGUAAGACAGAUGUGAAAUCCCCGGGCUCAACCUGGGAACUGCAUUUGUGACUGCAUGGCUAGAGUACGGUAGAGGGGGAUGGAAUUCCGCGUGUAGCAGUGAAAUGCGUAGAUAUGCGGAGGAACACCGAUGGCGAAGGCAAUCCCCUGGACCUGUACUGACGCUCAUGCACGAAAGCGUGGGGAGCAAACAGGAUUAGAUACCCUGGUAGUCCCAUGA
Molecule: ribosomal RNA, 475 nt
Filed under: uncultured organism
Description: partial 16S ribosomal RNA
Rfam family: Bacterial small subunit ribosomal RNA
Source: RNAcentral